UCCUCCUCGCCUUCCAGAUCAUGCCGCCACCUCCCUCCCCAUCCCCUCCCUCGGUGAGCCACCGGCGAGCCCCUCUACUGCCCGCGCACGCACAACCUCGGCUCCUGUUGCUCUCCAUCGACCCCGAUGCUCCUACUCCAGCCGGCAUCUGGCGGAGCAUCGCCACUCCGACCCCCUCCCUUCCCCACCCGCUCCUCUCGAUCCCGUCCCCUUCCUCCCUGCCGUCUUCUCCUUGCGACGCCCCACCCUCCACCAGGCCCUCCGCCAGCCCGAGCCCCUCGCUCCCUUCUCCACCUUCGCUCGACUUGACCAUGUCGUCGUGGGGGAUGGGGUCGUUGGGCUCACGGCCGAGCUCGACAAGGUGGAGCUCGUGCGCGCCCACGACGAUCCUGAGCGCAACGCCGGCUUCUGCUUCCUCUACUACGCGGACGGCGCAGGUCGACGGUGUAGGUCGCGGGCGUGGCGGAGCCCAUCCAUCCACCCAUCUUCCCCAAAGUUUCCUUCGACAAGUAGCAGCAGCGGAAGGACAUGGCGACGAACGUGCAGAUGGGCGGCGGCUCUCGCUCAUCAACAACACCUUCUACUCCAACAAGGAGAUCUUCCUCCGCGAGCUCAUCUCCAACUCGUCAGAUGCGCUUGACAAGAUCCGGCUCGAGAGCCUGACGGACAAGAGCAAGCUCGACGCCAGCCGGAGCUCUUCAUCCGCCUCAUCCCCGGUAAGCCCAACAAGACGCUCUCCAUCAUCGACAGGGCGUCGGCAUGACAAAAUCAGGAACGUCACUGGAUUCUGGAAUCUGACCGAGAUCCCGCCGGAGCUCUUCAACUCGAUGGAGCUGGUCUCUCUGUGAGUCAUGGCAUUGGUGUCUGUUGCUGUGCAAACUGCUUACACUAGGCAAUGCGAGAAUUAAACAACCUACUAGAGGACAAUGAGCAAUGUCGCUUGAUGAGUUGAUGUCGUUCAUGAUAUGAUGUUCUGUAUGCAGAUCAAUGUGACUAACAACAACCAGCAGUUCAUCAGCAUCCUGACUGGCCAUGUUAACUCCACGUCCUACUUCUCGAUGGACGCUGCAUCCUUCCCCAGCAGGCUGCCAAUGGCUACGUGCGUGCGCCCUGCUGCUUCUGCGCCGGUGCCGGCCACCGCGCCCAGUCGCCACGGCCAGCGGCAAUAGUCUCCUCGGCGGACGGCAGUGUGCAGGUGUGCACCCUGGCACUGGGGACUAGAGACGUGCAGCAUAGAAGGCCAGCAGCUAGGAGCUGAGCAGCUGUACACAGAGCCGGUGGUGUCGGAGCAACAGCGAGCAACAGACCUUUUCUCGUAGAAGGUGAAGAGGUCGUCGUUCAGCACGUCGGACAAAGUUCUUCAGCUGUCGGACGAGGUGGAGGCACGCUUCCUGUAGCACUUCGCGGGUAACGACUCGAGGUGCAUGUGACAUCCAUUAUUCUCACUUAGGCGAAUCUGAAAUUUUGUGAGAAUGCAACCUUUUGGGAAUUCUGGACUUCUCUUUUGCGCUAAUACAAAGAUGUCUGUUGGUUGCUAUAUAUGGAUGGUGGCCUCUAUUCAUGUUUCGUCGUGAGCUCCAGCAUGAAGAAGUUGGAAGAAGCAAUGCAUGAUGGAUCUAGGAGCAGUAUAAUGCUGAUUUGUAAACUUGUUGUAAUGCUAAUUCAGGUUGUAAUGCUGAUUGUAUGUGUCAUCCUUCAUUGUACACUUGUGGAGCUUGUUAUAUGAUUGUAAACUUGAUGCUGAUCACAUUGUAUGUGUGUUAUAUGAUCUAGCACUUUGAUGGUUGAUAACAUUUGAAGUA
Long non-coding RNA from Triticum aestivum (bread wheat), 1802 nucleotides. RefSeq lists it as uncharacterized. Lineage: Eukaryota; Viridiplantae; Streptophyta; Magnoliopsida; Poales; Poaceae. The transcript has 7 exons. The record is from RefSeq and is a predicted model, not a curated record.